GCUGCCUGAGCCCCGCGCUGCUCCGGCGGCGCCACACGGCGAAGACCUCCGCCCCGCAGCACCUCACGGCGGACGCGGGCGACGGGCUCAAGAGCGGCCUUGAUGGGGGAGUUCUGCUCUGCUUGUUAGGCCUCGGAGCUGAUCCGGUGCGCUGCAAACGGGCAUCGUGGUUCUGCAUUCCUGCUGCUUGUGUGCUAGUGUCCUUGGGCACCGUUGUCAUAAAACCUCCUUUCUCAGUCAAGUAGGAAUAGCUCCUAUCUAAAUCGCAUAUAUUGCGGUCUGUGGCCAAAGAUGAGCUACUCCUUGUGUCUGCAUGCUCAGGAGACAGGAUACACCUGUGUUCUUGUCUGUGCAUGGGUGGGAAGCCAGCUUAAAGCAACGGGCCUUACAUGUAAAGCUCCAGCGUGACGCAUGGCCGCUUUGGAGUGAGAAGCAGACAGCCGUGUGCAAGCUGUGAGCAGCUAAGCUCAGACAUCAGCCAGCUACAGCAGUGCUAGCUAUGCUUUCAAGCACUGUAGUCAAACUCAUCCUCCUGCCCCAAUGUGACUACACCCAAACGCUGGCUAAUAAAUGGCAGCUUGUCUGUGCACUGACUUAA
Non-coding RNA from Meleagris gallopavo (turkey), 598 nucleotides. The record is from RefSeq and is a predicted model, not a curated record. Lineage: Eukaryota; Metazoa; Chordata; Aves; Galliformes; Phasianidae.